CUUAACGUUGGAGGUACCCGUACCGCAAACGGACACACGUAGUCGGGUUGAAUAUACUAAGGCGCUUGGGUGAAUCACGGUUAAGGAACUAGGCAAAUUGACCCUGUAACUUCGGAAUAAAGGGUCCCUCCUCGCAAGAGAGGGCGCAGAGAAUAGGUCCAGGCAACUGUUUAACAAAAACACAGGGCUGUGCUAAUAUGAAAGUAGAUGUAUACAGCCUGACACCUGCCCGGUGCUGGAAGGUUAAGAGGA
This 252-nucleotide ribosomal RNA is filed under the name Bacteroides caecigallinarum. Its description in RNAcentral is "partial 23S ribosomal RNA". It matches the Rfam family "Bacterial large subunit ribosomal RNA", at positions 1625 to 1885 of the family's 2925-position model. The record is from RNAcentral. Lineage: Bacteria; Pseudomonadati; Bacteroidota; Bacteroidia; Bacteroidales; Bacteroidaceae.